Molecule: ribosomal RNA, 121 nt
Filed under: Ipomoea nil (Japanese morning glory)
Lineage: Eukaryota; Viridiplantae; Streptophyta; Magnoliopsida; Solanales; Convolvulaceae
Source: RNAcentral
GGAUGCGAUCAUACCAGCACUAAUGCCCACCGGAUCCAUCAGAACUCCGAAGUUAAGCGUGCUUGGGCGAGAGUAGUACUUAGGAUGGGUGACCCCCUGGGAAGUCCUCGUGUUGCAUCCC